Molecule: ribosomal RNA, 1237 nt
Filed under: Wolbachia endosymbiont of Megalothorax minimus
Lineage: Bacteria; Pseudomonadati; Pseudomonadota; Alphaproteobacteria; Rickettsiales; Anaplasmataceae
Description: bacterial SSU rRNA
Rfam family: Bacterial small subunit ribosomal RNA
Source: RNAcentral
GCAGACGGGUGAGUAAUGUAUAGGAAUCUACCUAGUAGUACGGAAUAAUUGUUGGAAACGACAACUAAUACCGUAUACGCCCUACGGGGGAAAAAUUUAUUGCUAUUAGAUGAGCCUAUAUUAGAUUAGCUAGUUGGUGGGGUAAUGGCCUACCAAGGCAAUGAUCUAUAGCUGAUCUGAGAGGAUGAUCAGCCACACUGGAACUGAGAUACGGUCCAGACUCCUACGGGAGGCAGCAGUGGGGAAUAUUGGACAAUGGGCGAAAGCCUGAUCCAGCCAUGCCGCAUGAGUGAAGAAGGCCUUAGGGUUGUAAAGCUCUUUUAGUGAGGAAGAUAAUGACGGUACUCACAGAAGAAGUCCUGGCUAACUCCGUGCCAGCAGCCGCGGUAAUACGGAGAGGGCUAGCGUUAUUCGGAAUUAUUGGGCGUAAAGAGCGCGUAGGCUGGUUAGUAAGUUAAAAGUGAAAUCCCGAGGCUCAACCUUGGAAUUGCUUUUAAAACUGCUAAUCUAGAGAUUGAAAGAGGGUAGAGGAAUUCCUAGUGUAGAGGUGAAAUUCGUAAAUAUUAGGAGGAACACCAGUGGCGAAGGCGUCUAUCUGGUUCAAAUCUGACGCUGAGGCGCGAAGGCGUGGGGAGCAAACAGGAUUAGAUACCCUGGUAGUCCACGCUGUAAACGAUGAAUGCUAAAUAUAGGAAGGUUACUUUCUGUAUUACAGCUAACGCGUUAAGCAUUCCGCCUGGGGACUACGGUCGCAAGAUUAAAACUCAAAGGAAUUGACGGGGACCCGCACAAGCGGUGGAGCAUGUGGUUUAAUUCGAUGCAACGCGAAAAACCUUACCACUCCUUGACAUGGAAAUUAUACCUAUUCGAAGGAAUAGGGUCGGUUCGGCCGGAUUUCACACAGGUGUUGCAUGGCUGUCGUCAGCUCGUGUCGUGAGAUGUUGGGUUAAGUCCCGCAACGAGCGCAACCCUCAUCCUUAGUUACCAUCAGGUAAUGCUGGGGACUUUAAGGAAACUGCUAGUGAUAAGCUGGAGGAAGGUGGGGAUGAUGUCAAGUCAUCAUGGCCCUUAUGGAGUGGGCUACACACGUGCUACAAUGGUGGCUACAACGGGCUGCAAAGUCGCGAGACUAAGCUAAUCCCUUAAAAGCCAUCUCAGUUCGAAUUGCACUCUGCAACUCGAGUGCAUGAAGUUGGAAUCGCUAGUAAUCGUGGAUCAGCAUGCCACGGUGAAUACG